Enterococcus rotai is the source of this 278-nucleotide non-coding RNA. The record is from Rfam. NCBI's taxonomy places the organism in Bacteria, Bacillati, Bacillota, Bacilli, Lactobacillales, Enterococcaceae.
UGAAGUAGAGAAGGUUUGAAAGAACAAAUUCAAAUGCUAAAGUAAACGGUGGGCAUGUUAUGCUGAAAAGGUUAGAGGGAUAAGCGAAGGUACUAGCUAUUUUGUGAGUUCCUCGGGCACUAUCAAAAACACAUGCCCAAUAAAGAAAGUCAAUAGCGACGUUAGGAGAGCCUAGCGGUCUAUUGACUUUCUUUAUAGUGUUUUACGGAUUAGAAGAGUUAUUUUUCUCAUUUUCUUUCUGUUUCCUUGAACUACUUGAUGGAAAAAAUUAUGAUACG